This 72-nucleotide transfer RNA is filed under the name Staphylococcus aureus. RNAcentral's name for it is "tRNA-Lys". It matches the Rfam family "tRNA". Rfam says of the family: Transfer RNA (tRNA) molecules are approximately 80 nucleotides in length. Lineage: Bacteria; Bacillati; Bacillota; Bacilli; Caryophanales; Staphylococcaceae. The record is from RNAcentral. RNAcentral also lists the same sequence under 2 other names.
GAGAAUUAGCUCAGCUGGGAGAGCAUCUGACUUUUAAUCAGAGGGUCAGAGGUUCGAAUCCUCUAUGGCUCA